Poecile atricapillus (Black-capped chickadee) is the source of this 2128-nucleotide RNA transcript. It is a transcript of the gene named lectin, mannose binding 2 like, with no coding region annotated. The transcript has 10 exons. Lineage: Eukaryota; Metazoa; Chordata; Aves; Passeriformes; Paridae. The record is from RefSeq and is a predicted model, not a curated record.
CGGCUGCCAUGUCCCGGGUCCCGAACUACAUUACCCAUCAACCCCCACUUGACAGACAGCUUACUUGACCAAUCAGCAUUGAGAAUUCCCCCAAGGGGCGGGAACAGCGGUGCGGAUCAACCAAUGAGCGCGCGGGGCGGGCGGCGGCGCGGCGGGGGAAGAUGGCGGCGGCGGCGGCGGGCCGGUGGCGGACCGGGCUGGCCCUGCUGGCCGUGGCGCUGGGGCUCGGCGGGACGGGAGCCGAGCAGACCGAGGAGCACCUCAAACGCGAGCACUCGCUGUCCAAACCGUACCAGGGUGUGGGCUCGGCCAGCUCGGGGCUCUGGGACCUGCUCGGUAACGCCAUGGUCAUGACGCAGUUCAUCCGCCUCACCCCCGACGUGCAGAGCAAGCACGGAGCCGUGUGGAACCGAGUGCCCUGUUACCUGCGGGACUGGGAGAUGCAGGUGCACUUCAAGAUCCACGGGCAAGGCAAGAAGAACCUGAACGGGGACGGUUUCGCCAUCUGGUACACCAAGGACAGGAUGCAGCCAGGACCCGUUUUCGGCAGCAAGGACAAUUUCCUGGGGCUGGGAGUGUUUGUGGACACCUACCCCAACGAGGAGAAGCAGCAGGAGGCUCAGAAGAGGAGGUACAGCCCUGGAAACCAGCGCGUGUUCCCCUACAUCUCGGCCAUGGUCAACAACGGCUCGCUGACCUACGACCACGACCGCGACGGGCGGCCCACGGAGCUGGGCGGCUGCACGGCCAUGGUGCGCAACCUCAACCACGACACCUUCCUGGUCAUCCGCUACGUCAAGAGGAGGCUGACGGUUCUGAUCGACAUUGACGGCAAACACGAGUGGCGGGAUUGCAUCGACGUUCCGGGCGUGCGCCUGCCCCGCGGGUACUACUUCGGGACCUCGUCCGUCACCGGGGACCUCUCAGACAACCACGACAUCAUCUCGCUGAAGCUGUACCAGCUGACGGUGGAGCGGACGCCGGAGGAGGAAAAGCGGGAUCGGGAAGUUUUCCUGCCCGUGGUGGAUAACCUGAGGCUCCCGGGGAUGGAGGCACCGCUGGAGCCCAUGAGCGGCCUGGCCCUGUUCCUCAUCGUCUUCUUCUCCCUGGUGGCCCUCGUCUUCGCCAUCGUCAUCGGCAUCAUCGUCUACAACAAGUGGCAGGAGCAGAGCCGCAAACACUUCUACUGAAUCCCGGGAUUCCGGCGGAACCCCCGGAAUUCCGGCAGGGAGAGACUUCCCGGUGUUUUCCUGGCGGCGCUCGGCCGGGAACGGCCGGAGUUUUUCCGUUUGGAGUUUUCCCGGCGGGAGGAGCCGCGGGAGCCGCUCCCCGAUCCCCCAGCAUGUGGCUGCUCCUGCAUGUGGCGGCUCCCAGAUUCCCAAGAGAUUCCCGGGAGAUUCCUGGGAGAUUCCUGAGAGAUUCCCAAGCAAUUCCUGGGAGAUUCCUGAGAAAUUCGUGGGAGAUUCCCGGGAGAUUCCCUGGAGAUUUCUGAGAGAUUCCCAAGAGAUUCCCAAGAGAUUCCUGAGAAAUUCCCAAGAGAUUCCCAGGAGCUUCUCAGGAGCUUCCCAAGAGAUUCCCAAGAGAUUCCCAGAAGAUUCCCAGGAUCUUCCCAGGAGAUUCCCAGGAGAUUCCCAGGAGAUUCCCAAGAGAUUCCCAGAAGAUUCCCAGGAUCUUCCCAGGAGAUUCCCAGGAGAUUCCCAGGAGAUUCCCAGGAGAUUCCCAAGAGAUUCCCGGGAUAUUCUCAGGAUCUUCCCAAGAGAUUCCCAGGAGAUUCCCGGGAUCUUCCGGAUCCGCUCCCCAUCCUACCUCAGGGACUGCCGGGCACGGCGAUUGCUCCGGCCGCUGCUUCGCCCCUCCAGGGCUCUCCGGGGCCGGCCGAGCCGAGCCCCGCGGCUUUCCAGAACAUUCUGGAAUGUUCUCCCCGGGAGAGGAGGGGGCUGGGUGGUCCCUGGGCCGGGGGAGGAGCGCGGGAGCUGCUCCCGGGGGGUUCCCAGGGAGGCUUUUCCCGCCGGAUUCGCCUCUCGUUCCGUGCCGGAUCCGCGGGAUCCGAUGGUUUGUGCCUCUCCCCGGAGCCGGUGUUUGGAAUAAACGCUGAGGGCCGCGCGUGAUGUCCUCGGCACCGCCAGGG